Molecule: long non-coding RNA, 1961 nt
Organism: Coregonus clupeaformis (lake whitefish)
Lineage: Eukaryota; Metazoa; Chordata; Actinopteri; Salmoniformes; Salmonidae
Exons: 4
Source: RefSeq, a predicted model, not a curated record
CUCAGACAGCGGGUAACGAGAGCUCGCUUUGGAUCUCUUUUCUAUCGCUUGGCACUGUUUGGCAGAGGAGGUGUACACAGGUCUCCUGUGCUGUAGAGGACCGACGGGUGCUGUGGUGUAGACAGACCUCGUGUGGUAGAGGAUGGGCACCGGUGCUCCCCAGGUGGCCACUUUUAUCUGCCAUCCCGUGAAAUGGUGUGAGGAUCACGCGUUUAUCUCAACGAUCCAGGCAAACACUGCUGUGGAGUGGAGACUUACGACCCUCUGGAUGAAAUUUGCUGCAACGGACUCAAGCUCUUGUCGUGGGAGAUGGUCCGACUCCUUGGACACCUUCUCAGUUAAUCACACUGUUCUCAAAUGGACCACACAGCCUCUUCCUGUAUGAUUUCCCUCUCGGACAGGUUUUGGGAUGACGGCCCCAUCCACAACAGAGGGCAAAGUCCUCCUGGUAAUCUACGGCCUGCUGGGCUGCUCUGCCACCAUCCUCUUCUUCAACAUCACCAUGUUGGACUUCCUCAUACGAUGGAGCCACCGGAAGAGAACACACAACAUCCGGCUAGGGGGCAACAACAACCAACAUGAGGGUGGAGGAGAGGAAAGAGGGGUGGAGGCCCUCUGUGUAUUCGGUCACUCUCAAACUGCCUCCUCAUGCUCCUGGGGGUAUGCUGUACCUACUCCCUCUUCAAUGCCCUGUCUAUCAUCAUCAAAUGGGCUGAACUGGAUCCUGAGUCAGCUGAUCCAUCUGUGUAGCUGCCUGUGCCACAGCAGACCUCUACGAUGUGUGUCUGGCUGUAGAACUCUCUCCCCGCUCUGACCUUUUUGAACUGCUCCUGUAUCUCUGUGCUGCUGCCUUCACCUCUGGUCUUCUCCCCAUCAUUGGACUACCAUCUGUGGACACCUUCCUUGCUACAACCUCUGAACACCUUUAGUGUUUGUGCAUCACUGCCCAAAGUUGACUUUGUGGAGCCAGAGUGUCUUUACAGUUAUCUUAUGUGUAUAUUAUGUGUUACUAUGUCAUAUGUCCAUUACUACUUAGUUACAAACUAUUUAUAGUUGUUGUUGGGUGCAACUAUGUUAGUAUUUCACGUGUAUAUAAUAUGUCCUGUUACAUAGUCAUUUAAUAGCUUUAUGGUCGAGCUAUGAAUACUUUUACUGUUGGGACAAUAGUUACUCUACUUGCCAUUAAAACCUAUAGGCCUAAGAUGGCCACCUGCCGUGAGGUAAUUAGCAUCCAAUAAUGCUGCCACUUCAAGUUCCUAUUGUCAUGUGACCUUUCAUAGAUGGCAGCCCCCAUAGCCUUGUUUAUAUUACCAUGCUAGCUUAAUUAACCGGAAUGCUAACAUUUAUACGAACUUGUUCCUACUAUGUAUGGGGUUUAUACUGUUAUGUUAUAUUAGCUUAUACUGUUUAUUAUGUUAGGUUAUAUGAUUUUCCUACUAGCUAAUUAUUAGCUAUUCGCUUAUCCUUUCCUUACUAGCCUGUAGUAUGUUAGUCUAGCUGCUAAUGUAUGCCUGUAACCGUUAUGCCUUAUAGUGUGUACUGUAUUCUCUAUUAGCCUGUUGCUAAUACUUAGCUGCAAUUGUGUUUAGCGUCCCUAGCCAUUGCCUAUUGCCUAUAUAAAGUGCAUUACUCCCAUUGCUGCUAUGCUAUUAGCCUUGCUGCUACUAUUCCUACUGUUGCUUAGCAUAUUAGCGUUAUAUUGUUAUAGCACAUUUAUAGCCAUGUCAUUACACUGCUAAUCCUAUUAGCUAUCAUCGUAGCAUUGUCAUUGCUAUGUUAUCAUGCCAUUACUGUUGCUACAUCGUUAUAGCUAUAUCACUGUGUAAUACAUCUUUCUAUUUGUCUUCUUACAGAAUACCACACACAUCACACUUCACACAUCUAUGACAUUUAUCACUAUCACUCCUAUUCUCCUUUAAUGCUGGUGUGUGUUGCGGCUAGCAAUAAACAUCUGUUCUUUA